This 438-nucleotide ribosomal RNA is filed under the name Wolbachia endosymbiont of Trichogramma ostriniae. Its description in RNAcentral is "bacterial SSU rRNA". It matches the Rfam family "Bacterial small subunit ribosomal RNA", at positions 992 to 1428 of the family's 1533-position model. The record is from RNAcentral. Lineage: Bacteria; Pseudomonadati; Pseudomonadota; Alphaproteobacteria; Rickettsiales; Anaplasmataceae.
CAUACCUAUUCGAAGGGAUAGGGUCGGUUCGGCCGGAUUUUACACAAGUGUUGCAUGGCUGUCGUCAGCUCGUGUCGUGAGAUGUUGGGUUAAGUCCCGCAACGAGCGCAACCCUCAUCCUUAGUUGCUAUCAGGUAAUGCUGAGUACUUUAAGGAAACUGCCAGUGAUAAGCUGGAGGAAGGUGGGGAUGAUGUCAAGUCAUCAUGGCCUUUAUGGAGUGGGCUACACACGUGCUACAAUGGUGUCUACAAUGGGCUGCAAGGUGCGCAAGCCUAAGCUAAUCCCUAAAAGACAUCUCAGUUCGGAUUGUACUCUGCAACUCGAGUACAUGAAGUUGGGAUCGCUAGUAAUCGUGGAUCAGCAUGCCACGGUGAAUACGUUCUCGGGUCUUGUACACACUGCCCGUCACGCCAUGGGAAUUGGUUUCACUCGAAGCU